This 468-nucleotide ribosomal RNA is filed under the name Weissella kandleri. Its description in RNAcentral is "bacterial LSU rRNA". It matches the Rfam family "Bacterial large subunit ribosomal RNA", at positions 51 to 514 of the family's 2925-position model. The record is from RNAcentral. Lineage: Bacteria; Bacillati; Bacillota; Bacilli; Lactobacillales; Lactobacillaceae.
GAAGGACGGUACUAACACCGAUAUGCCUCGGGGAGCUGUAAGUAAGCUUUGAUCCGGGGAUUUCCGAAUGGGGGAACCCAACUUGUUAUGCAAGUUAUCACUAGUUGAAUCUAUAGACUAGUUGAAGGUAGACGCUGUGAACUGAAACAUCUCAUUAGCAGCAGGAGUAGAAAGAAAAAUCGAUUCCGUCAGUAGCGGCGAGCGAACGCGGAAGAGCCCAAACCAAAGUGCUUGCACUUUGGGGUUGUAGGACUACCGUUGUGGAGUUACAAAAUUGUAUGUUAGUUGAAGUGGUUGGGAAGCCACGCGAGACAAGGUGAUAGCCCUGUAAACGAAAGCAUGCAAUCUCCCGUGUAGGAUCCUGAGUACGGCCGGACACGUGAAAUCCGGUCGGAAUCUGGGAGGACCAUCUCCCAAGGCUAAAUACUACCUAGUGACCGAUAGUGAACCAGUACCGUGAGGGAAAGG